Molecule: long non-coding RNA, 737 nt
Organism: Vigna unguiculata (cowpea)
Lineage: Eukaryota; Viridiplantae; Streptophyta; Magnoliopsida; Fabales; Fabaceae
Source: RefSeq, a predicted model, not a curated record
CUUUGAAAGCAACAGAAGCACCCAAAGGCCAAAAUAUUCCAACAGAUCCAUGCAUGCUACACCUUUCUACAAAAGGCCACUCCCAUUUCAAAACUCAUCAUACAAAACUAUUCCUUCCUCAUUGCUUAGUCAAAACCUAUCUCUCAUCUCAUCAUCUUCAAAUAUCACCCAGAAUUUCCAUUCCCUCUGCUUUUCUUUGCUCUAUAUAGCUUCUAGGGUUUCUCAGAGGUCUUGUUCCAUAGCCAUUUUGGCAUUCUGUCCACCUCCAUCAGUGUUGACAAUUGGAGGUGGCCAGAAGACCAAACGGGCUAUGUGAAUUCGUAUCUAAGAAACCCUGUGGGCUCAAUUCUCCAUCAUAUUAUUCCUUCUGAGUUCUGCAUAAUCAUAGUUUUCCUCAUCAUGCACAUAUUAUUCCUUCUUUAUCUGAAACAUGCAACUUUUCUACAAGGAACAACAUAAGUUGUUGAAACUCCAUUGGGUUGUAGCAGUUGCAGCAUUGGAUUCCUAGAAGCAUUAGGGUAUGAUUAAUUUAGACUUGGCAAUGCUGUUCUGAGGCCACCAUUAUGAGUUGUAGUGUUUUCAAAUGGAAACCAAAUUCCUGCACUCACAUAGCAUAGCAGCACCAACCACCAAUUCUUUGUCAAUGGGAGAGGAAUCUAUUAGUGCCCUUUGGACCUGACACAUAUCAUCAUCAUAUCAUGCAACAAUGAAUCACUGUUCACUCUUCCAAACCAGAA